UACGUAGGGUGCGAGCGUUGUCCGGAAUUACUGGGCGUAAAGAGCUCGUAGGUGGUUUGUCGCGUUGUCCGUGAAAACUCACAGCUUAACUGUGGGCGUGCGGGCGAUACGGGCAGACUGGAGUACUGCAGGGGAGACUGGAAUUCCUGGUGUAGCGGUGGAAUGCGCAGAUAACAGGAGGAACACCGGUGGCGAAGGCGGGUCUCUGGGCAGUAACUGACGCUGAGGAGCGAAAGCGUGGGGAGCGAACAGG
Molecule: ribosomal RNA, 253 nt
Filed under: uncultured bacterium
Lineage: Bacteria
Description: partial 16S ribosomal RNA
Rfam family: Bacterial small subunit ribosomal RNA
Source: RNAcentral